Long non-coding RNA from Hemicordylus capensis (graceful crag lizard), 1186 nucleotides. RefSeq lists it as uncharacterized. The record is from RefSeq and is a predicted model, not a curated record. Lineage: Eukaryota; Metazoa; Chordata; Lepidosauria; Squamata; Cordylidae. The transcript is spliced from 5 exons.
AGGAUGCAGUGGAGGCUCCUCUUCUUCCUAUCCUCCAAGGGCAAGGUGGUGAGGGAGAAAUUGCUGAUGAUAAAGAUACAUCCCCUCCAUCUCUGAGGGAGGGCAGGAUGCCUCCUUGUCUUAAGAAGGCAAUUAUUAGACCGCUUCUGAAGAAGCCUGCCUUAGAUCCCUCAGAGUUGAACAACUACAGGUAUCCUGUUUGAGCAUGUGGACAAUUCACUCACUCAGCUGGGGAAGCAUUACCGGUAAACGUUCUACAAGGCUUGACAAGAAGAUUCGCACAAAAAGGAACAGAUCCAAUUGUUAAAAAACAAACAGCUACAAGGCACUUCCAUUGCCCCAAAAGGGCUUUCUUCCAGACCUCUGCAUCCUUGAAGAAAACCCACUGACUGACGAGAGUGGGAACGAGUUGCUGGCAAAGACCAUGGCAGUGCCUUCUCUUUGUUACCAGCCUCUGGAGGGAAGACGUGGAGUACGGCGGGGUCACCUCUGAAGGUGGUGCUGCUGGAGCGGAGGAGUCUUCCAGGAGCUGUGAGCUAACAUUUAUCUACCUCUUCUGGAGGAAGAAUCAAAGACUCCAUCACCGUGAGACCCUGGACUGAGUUCAUCCCAUUCUGCAGGACCUCUUCAAUAAACAGGCAUUCCGCAGGAGGACGAUUACACUCUAUCAGGGGAAACAGUCCUCGCACGACUGCAACUCUUCUGUUUUUGGAAGGCGCUUCUGCAGCUGCAGUGGUAAGUUAGGAUCCAACUCAACAUCUGAGGCAAACGAGCCGCAUAGCCUAGAGCGGCUGCGAUCGGCUUGCUUUUCCCCCUUUCCAAAUUGUACAAUAUGAAAAGCAUUGUUUUAAAAUGCCACAUUAGAAUACAAGCUGGGCUUCUGAGCAGAGGAAGAGAAGAAGAAAUUGUAUUCCAGUUCAGCCACAACAUUUGAAGCCUGGAGAUGUUAGUUUUUGCAAGAGUUAUAUGACAAUAGGAAGUCAUAUAAUGCCUUUGCAAUGUCUUUGUUUUCCUCCCUGUUAAGAGUACAGAGGGUAAUGCUAAAGUACCUCACGGGGGAGGGGGGGUUAUACAGCUAUAACAUUUGCUAGCAUGCCCAAAUCAUUACUUUGGAAAGAAAAGAAAGCACCGACAGAUGUGGGUGAAGGUUGACAAUUUCAUACCUGGUAUGCCAACUACUCAUGAA